Molecule: ribosomal RNA, 740 nt
Filed under: Nocardioides luteus
Lineage: Bacteria; Bacillati; Actinomycetota; Actinomycetes; Propionibacteriales; Nocardioidaceae
Description: bacterial SSU rRNA
Rfam family: Bacterial small subunit ribosomal RNA
Source: RNAcentral
CCCUUCGGGGUACUCGAGCGGCGAACGGGUGAGUAAACGUGAGUAAUCUGCCCCAGGCUCUGGGAUAGCCACCGGAAACGGUGAUUAAUACCGGAUACGACAACCGAUUGCAUGAUCUGGUUGUGGAAAGUUUUUCGGCCUGGGAUGUGCUCGCGGCCUAUCAGCUUGUUGGUGAGGUAAUGGCUCACCAAGGCUUCGACGGGUAGCCGGCCUGAGAGGGUGACCGGCCACACUGGGACUGAGACACGGCCCAGACUCCUACGGGAGGCAGCAGUGGGGAAUAUUGGACAAUGGGCGGAAGCCUGAUCCAGCAACGCCGCGUGAGGGAUGACGGCCUUCGGGUUGUAAACCUCUUUCAGCACAGACGAAGCGCAAGUGACGGUAUGUGCAGAAGAAGGACCGGCCAACUACGUGCCAGCAGCCGCGGUAAUACGUAGGGUCCGAGCGUUGUCCGGAAUUAUUGGGCGUAAAGGGCUCGUAGGCGGUCUGUCGCGUCGGGAGUGAAAACCAGGUGCUUAACACCUGGCCUGCUUUCGAUACGGGCAGACUAGAGGUACUCAGGGGAGAAUGGAAUUCCUGGUGUAGCGGUGAAAUGCGCAGAUAUCAGGAGGAACACCGGUGGCGAAGGCGGUUCUCUGGGAGUAUCCUGACGCUGAGGAGCGAAAGUGUGGGGAGCGAACAGGAUUAGAUACCCUGGUAGUCCACACCGUAAACGUUGGGCGCUAGGUGUGGGAUCCAUU